Leopardus geoffroyi (Geoffroy's cat) is the source of this 407-nucleotide long non-coding RNA. RefSeq lists it as uncharacterized. NCBI's taxonomy places the organism in Eukaryota, Metazoa, Chordata, Mammalia, Carnivora, Felidae. The transcript has 3 exons. The record is from RefSeq and is a predicted model, not a curated record.
GGUCAGGACCCACUGGGACCUAACUGGCACAUACCCAGUGCUGAGCCAAUCACUGUGGCCAGGGAGGAUGGCCAGAUUGAGGUCCUGUGACCACCCUCCCUAAGGAAACUCCUGAGCUGUUCAACCUGUUUUCCUGUGUGGGAGUGAACCUGAGAGAACAGAGGAAAGACGUCAAACUCAUAAGCACGGCAUGGCAGAGGGGCUGCUGAACAGUGAAAACAGAUGUGAGCACACGCGUUAAGAACCAGUGAGUAAUUUACCACUUUUCUUUUCCUUUUUCCACCACAAUGGCAAUAUUCCAGAUAGAGACAGACUGCUCUGUCAACCUGAGUGCAGAGGGGAGAGGAGACGAAGGAGAGCCACAUGUGCAUGUAGUCUGAGACAUAAAGAAACUUUAUUGUAGGCCA